This 695-nucleotide ribosomal RNA is filed under the name uncultured organism. Its description in RNAcentral is "bacterial SSU rRNA". It matches the Rfam family "Bacterial small subunit ribosomal RNA", at positions 36 to 748 of the family's 1533-position model. The record is from RNAcentral.
CUGGCGGCGUGCUAAUACAUGCAAGUCGAACGGUAACCCUUGGAUUCGUCUGAGGGGGAGAGUGGCGAACUGGUGAGUAACACGUAGGUGACCUGCCUCGAAGACGGGGAUAACCAUCGGAAACGGUGGCUAAUACCCGAUACAUUCGGCAAUUCAGUUUGUCGAGUAAAGCUCCGGCGCUUCGAGAUGGACCUGCGGCCUAUCAGCUAGUUGGUAGGGUAAUGGCCUACCAAGGCGAAGACGGGUAGGGGGCGUGAGAGCGUGGUCCCCCACACUGGCACUGAGAUACGGGCCAGACUCCUGCGGGAGGCAGCAGUCGGGGAUAUUGCACAAUCAGCGAAAGCUGGAUGCAGCGACGCCGCGUGGGCGAUGAAGGCCUUCGGGUUGUAAAGCCCUUUUAUGGGGGAAGAGAAAAAGGACGGUACCCCAAGAAUAAGUCCCGGCUAACUACGUGCCAGCAGCCGCGGUAAAACGUAGGGGACAAGCGUUAUCCGGAUUUACUGGGCGUAAAGAGCGUUGAGGCGGUUCCGUAAGUUGGGCGUUAGAGCCCCGGGCUCAACUCGGGGAGGUCGUUCAAUACUGCGGAACUUGAGGGCAGCAGAGGGAGGCGGAAUUCCCGGUGUAGCGGUGAAAUGCGUAGAUCUCGGGAGGAACACCAGUGGCGAAGGCGGCCUCCUGGGCUGCUCCUGACGCUG